GACGAACGCUGGCGGCGUGCUUAACACAUGCAAGUCGAACGGAAAGGCCCUGCUUUUGUGGGGUGCUCGAGUGGCGAACGGGUGAGUAACACGUGAGUAACCUGCCCUUGACUUUGGGAUAACUUCAGGAAACUGGGGCUAAUACCGGAUAGGAGCUCCUGCUGCAUGGUGGGGGUUGGAAAGUUUCGGCGGUUGGGGAUGGACUCGCGGCUUAUCAGCUUGUUGGUGGGGUAGUGGCUUACCAAGGCUUUGACGGGUAGCCGGCCUGAGAGGGUGACCGGCCACAUUGGGACUGAGAUACGGCCCAGACUCCUACGGGAGGCAGCAGUGGGGAAUAUUGCACAAUGGGCGGAAGCCUGAUGCAGCAACGCCGCGUGCGGGAUGACGGCCUUCGGGUUGUAAACCGCUUUCGCCUGUGACGAAGCGUGAGUGACGGUAAUGGGUAAAGAGGCACCGGCUAACUACGUGC
RNAcentral lists this ribosomal RNA (469 nucleotides) under uncultured bacterium. RNAcentral's name for it is "partial 16S ribosomal RNA". It matches the Rfam family "Bacterial small subunit ribosomal RNA", at positions 28 to 508 of the family's 1533-position model. The record is from RNAcentral.